This 466-nucleotide ribosomal RNA is filed under the name uncultured bacterium. RNAcentral's name for it is "bacterial SSU rRNA". It matches the Rfam family "Bacterial small subunit ribosomal RNA", at positions 329 to 793 of the family's 1533-position model. The record is from RNAcentral.
UUCCAGACUCCUACGGGAGGCAGCAGUGAGGAAUAUUGGUCAAUGGCCGAGAGGCUGAACCAGCCAAGUCGCGUGAGGGAAGACGGCCCUACGGGUUGUAAACCUCUUUUGUCGGGGAGCAAAGCGAACCACGUGUGGUUCAUUGAGAGUACCCGAAGAAAAAGCAUCGGCUAACUCCGUGCCAGCAGCCGCGGUAAUACGGAGGAUGCGAGCGUUAUCCGGAUUUAUUGGGUUUAAAGGGUGCGCAGGCGGAGGUGCAAGUCAGCGGUCAAAUUGCGGGGCUCAACCCCGUACUGCCGUUGAAACUGGCGGGCUGGAGUUGGAGAGAAGUACGCGGAAUGCGCGGUGUAGCGGUGAAAUGCUUAGAUAUCGCGCAGAACCCCGAUUGCGAAGGCAGCGUACCGGCUCCACACUGACGCUGAGGCACGAAAGCGUGGGUAUCGAACAGGAUUAGAUCCCCCGUACG